UCAUGACAUAAAUAAAAGUUGAAUAUUACGAACAAUAGUUUAAAAUUCAAAGAUUUUGGCGGUGUCUUAUAAAACCAGGGGAACCUGUCUCAUAACUCGAUAAUCCACGCACACCUGACCUUCUCUCGACAAUUCAGCAUGUGUACUGCCGUUGUAAGCAUACCUUUAAAAGAAUAGUAUGCUACUAUGAUUAUAAUUAACUCAUAUACAUCAGGUCAAAGUGCAGCUAAUGAGGAGGAGAUGAUGGGUUACAACCAUAAAAAAGACUAUCAACUAAAAAAUAAAAAAUUUAUUACGAAAGUGGACUUGGCUGUAAUUAACUUCAGUUAAAACAAAUGAAUAAUCUCUAAGACAUGUACACAUCGCCCGUCACUCUAUCCUAAAGGUU
Molecule: ribosomal RNA, 388 nt
Filed under: Duplodicodrilus schmardae
Lineage: Eukaryota; Metazoa; Annelida; Clitellata; Crassiclitellata; Megascolecidae
Description: partial small subunit ribosomal RNA
Rfam family: Bacterial small subunit ribosomal RNA
Source: RNAcentral